Molecule: transfer RNA, 30 nt
Filed under: Oreochromis amphimelas
Lineage: Eukaryota; Metazoa; Chordata; Actinopteri; Cichliformes; Cichlidae
Description: partial transfer RNA-Thr
Source: RNAcentral
GGACGUCGAAGGUUAAAAUCCUUCCUACUG